UGCUCGGCCACGACGCUGCUACCAACUGCGCGUGCGCAGGACAAGCCCGGUCCAGCGAGCGGGCCUCGCCCGAGUCACCCAGUCGUCUCUCCGUCCCCAGCGAAGGAGUUCUGUAAACUAAUUCGCCGUUGAACUUUUUGCUCAGUGACACCCAGUGUUAAGCUGCGAAGGCUCUGAUGAAGGGACUACUCCCCGCUCCGAGCACGGCAAAGGGAGCCAACAGGCUGUAGUAAGAGCUGAGGUGGAUGAAGACAGGUCCUCUAGAGCAACGAUCCCAAUGAUCCUGACCAAGCAUCAGAACACCGGGCAGGUCUUUAACCGGAGGGCUGCCUCCACUGUUGAUGUAGUUCAUCCAGCAGGUCUGGGCGGUGCCGAAAAUCUGCAUCUCUGACAGAUUCCCAGCUGAUGCUGACACUGCUGCUUUAGGGACCUUGGCAGGGCUCCUCAGUGAGUCACUGAAAGAAACAGCCUCUCCUUACCUCUGGGACUUUCACAGCAGAUUAGAAAUUCCACAGUCUGGAAGCUCUGAGCCUAAGAAGAAACAACUCGGGGAAACACCAUGCCUACAAAUCAGGCUCAGCAUUGGGGCUGCAGACUUUCAAGUAUGCCAGACCCAUUUUCAUCUUCUGAAAUUGUCUGAGUAACUAGCAUAAGAUCAUAUGCUCUAAAGGAUCAUAUUUCCUGCCCCAAAAUGCGGGUCACUGCUGGGCAUCGUGGCACAGGCUAUAAUACCAGCUCUUAGGAGGCAGAGGCAGGAGGAUUGCCAUGCUCAAGGCCAACCUGAGUUAUAUAGUGAGACCCUGUCUCAAAAAAAAUGUGGGUCACUUAUCUAGUAAAUGAGUAAAUAAAGGUUGAGCAAACACAUGGA
This 868-nucleotide long non-coding RNA is filed under the name Fukomys damarensis (Damara mole-rat). Its description in RNAcentral is "lncRNA (ENSFDAG00000031560.1)". The record is from RNAcentral. Lineage: Eukaryota; Metazoa; Chordata; Mammalia; Rodentia; Bathyergidae.